This 335-nucleotide ribosomal RNA is filed under the name uncultured soil bacterium. Its description in RNAcentral is "bacterial SSU rRNA". It matches the Rfam family "Bacterial small subunit ribosomal RNA", at positions 26 to 381 of the family's 1533-position model. The record is from RNAcentral.
AGAACGAACGCUGGCGGCAUGCCUAAUACAUGCAAGUCGAACGAACUCUUCGGAGUUAGUGGCGCACGGGUGCGUAACGCGUGGGAAUCUGCCCUUGGGUUCGGAAUAACAGUUGGAAACGACUGCUAAUACCGGAUGAUGACGAAAGUCCAAAGAUUUAUCGCCCAGGGAUGAGCCCGCGUAGGAUUAGCUAGUUGGUGAGGUAAGGCUCACCAGGCGACGAUCCUUAGCUGGUCUGAGAGGAUGAUCAGCCACACGUGGGACUGACGACCGACGGACCCAGACCUCCGUACGGGAGGCAGCGAAGGUAGGAAUAGUAGGACAAGUCGGGCGAC